AGCUUCAUAGCUCAGUAGGUAGAGCUAUAGCGCUUGUAUCGGAAUCGUAGGUCAUGGGUUCGAAUCCCGUUGGAGCAG
Desmophyllum pertusum is the source of this 78-nucleotide non-coding RNA. NCBI's taxonomy places the organism in Eukaryota, Metazoa, Cnidaria, Anthozoa, Scleractinia, Caryophylliidae. The record is from the annotation of a GenBank genome assembly.